AUUGAACGCUGGCGGCAUGCCUUACACAUGCAAGUCGAACGGCAGCACGGGUGAUUGCACCUGGUGGCGAGUGGCGAACGGGUGAGUAAUACAUCGGAACAUGUCCUGUAGUGGGGGAUAGCCCGGCGAAAGCCGGAUUAAUACCGCAUACGAUCUACGGAUGAAAGCGGGGGACCUUCGGGCCUCGCGCUAUAGGGUUGGCCGAUGGCUGAUUAGCUAGUUGGUGGGGUAAAGGCCUACCAAGGCGACGAUCAGUAGCUGGUCUGAGAGGACGACCAGCCACACUGGGACUGAGACACGGCCCAGACUCCUACGGGAGGCAGCAGUGGGGAAUUUUGGACAAUGGGCGAAAGCCUGAUCCAGCAAUGCCGCGUGUGUGAAGAAGGCCUUCGGGUUGUAAAGCACUUUUGUCCGGAAAGAAAGCCUUGGCCCUAAUACGGUCGGGGGAUGACGUUACCGGAAGAAUAAGCACCGGCUAACUACGUG
Molecule: ribosomal RNA, 486 nt
Filed under: uncultured bacterium
Lineage: Bacteria
Description: partial 16S ribosomal RNA
Rfam family: Bacterial small subunit ribosomal RNA
Source: RNAcentral